CGAGUCGCGCGGGCGGUCGCGUUGGUGUCCGGUUCAGGCCGGGUGCCGCCGAGGAACGUCCGGGCUCCACAGGGCAGGGUGGUAGGUAACGCCUACCUGGGGCGACCCACGGGACAGUGCCACAGAAAACAGACCGCCGGGGCCGUGCGAACGGCACCCGGUAAGGGUGAAACGGUGGUGUAAGAGACCACCAGCGACCGGGGUGACCCGGCCGGCUCGGUAAACCCCACCCGGAGCAAGGUCAAGAAGGGGCCAUCGGCGAUGGCCUCGCGCGGAUGACUGAGGGCGGCCCGCCCGAGUCCGCGGGUAGACCGCUGGAGGCUGUCGGCGACGGCAGCCCUAGAUGGAUGACCGCCACCCACCCCUUUGGGGGCGGGAACAGAACCCGGCGUACAGCCCGACUCGUCUG
Streptomyces xiamenensis is the source of this 409-nucleotide non-coding RNA. NCBI's taxonomy places the organism in Bacteria, Bacillati, Actinomycetota, Actinomycetes, Kitasatosporales, Streptomycetaceae. The record is from Rfam.